AAAGCAAGGCACUGAAAAUGCCUAGAUGAGUCUCCCAACUCCAUAAACA
RNAcentral lists this transfer RNA (49 nucleotides) under Bos taurus (domestic cattle). RNAcentral's name for it is "partial tRNA-Phe". The record is from RNAcentral. Lineage: Eukaryota; Metazoa; Chordata; Mammalia; Artiodactyla; Bovidae.